AUCGCGGGCUCCAGCGCCACAAUGGCAGUUGCUGCUGGUGGAAUUUGUGUGUCGCCGGCCUCACUGGGCCAAGGUUCCUGACGUCACAAAGCAUGAAGGUAGCUGAAUCCAGGCCAGAUGAUCCUGGGGAAGAUUUAACUAACAUUUCCUCAAUAUUGGUUCCCGAAAAAAUAGUUGCCAUUUAGCCAGCUGCCAUAAAGAUAGCCAUCUCCAUCUGAUUUCUUUGGAGCUACACUUUACAUAUUCAACUGGAAUAUUUUAUCUAUCUCAGGUGGUAAACAGAAAAGAUCCCGUCCACAACAGGUCUAACAUUUGUGUGUUCACUCUCAUAAAAGCCAGUCCCACGUUAAAUCUUGGACAAUGUGCAAUCAUUACAGUCCUUCUGGAACCCACCAAUGCCAAGGCAUUUGUUCCACAAGACAGCCUGGAACCAAGAUGUAAUCAAGCCUUUCACUUAUCCCACUGGACUGGGCUAUGAAUCAUCUCCCUUUCUUACUCAACUGGCACAGAUAAGUAGCACCUGAACAGCAUUUUGUCUUCUGAAGAGUAUAAUGUCCUUAAAUUACCAUACAGUACUAGUUGUUGUAUUCACUUGCAGCUUUUAUAAAGCCAGACAUAUCUCAGGAAGGCCAAACUAAUCUCAGGAAGCAGCCCACAUGUGGAGAAAUCCCACUGCAGAGUUCAAAACCUCUUAAGGAGAUAGAGUAAGCUGAAUCGUCCUCACGGUCACCUGCCUGGGAAACUUGAGCCCACAGCACCUGAACAGCACAGUGGCUCCAAGUAAUGACACCACUUUUUGUUCUCAGGUUCAUUUCACUGCCUAAAUCCUUCUGUCACCUGCCUCUUCCCUAGGGACUGAGCUAAUAGAAGAUUGUUACAUCUAUCAGCAAAUCCAUCUGGUUCACUGAAAUUUAUCUCACAAAUAGCAGCUAAUCAAAAGAUGGGAAGAACAGCACAAAGUGGUCUAAUUUCUAUGAGUCCCCCCUAACUUUGUUGAAAAAAAAAAAGCACUAGCUUCUCCUUCAUUGCAGCAGCAGCCUGUAAGGUAAUGGAUCCUUUCAGAGCAUUCAGAUAUGGCCUAAAUCAGGGCUCUCUAUCUGGCUUGUUCCUGCCAUUUUAUUCCAGUUAAAAUUGCAGUGCUUCAUUCUUCCACCGAAAGUGACUUUCUUUAUUAAUCUUCAUAACCUAGAGAGAGUAUAAAUAUUUAGGUAUAUACAAAAGGUAAUGAUGCAUUGACAAUAUAAACAAAGAGCAGGGAAAUCUUUACUUUUGCCUUUAGAUUCUUGCUGAAUAUUUUACGAGUCAAUGGGGUCUUCUUCAUGUUUUUCCGAGGGUCACAUUUGCAGCACUCUCCUCUGCCAGUCUGUGGCUAGAACAGUUUCCCAACCAGAGGCUAUAGUGGUAAAGAACACACACUCUCGAGCCACCUGCCCAGGUUUAAAUGCUAGCUCUUGUUCACUAGCAUGUAGUUUUAGACAAGUUACUCAAUCUCCACAUGCCUCGGUUUCCUCCUUUGCAACAUGGAGAUAAGAUAAUAGUGCCUACAUCAUGAGAUGGUAGUGAGAAUUCAUUUAGUUAACAUGGGUGAAAUAUUUAAAUAUUAACUGUCUCAUUGUUAAGUGCUAGAUAUUAUCAUACUUAAAUAUUACACAGAGCACAAGUUCUAAGAGAUGUUCCUGGGAAAACAAGAGUCUAUAAGCAAAUAAGAUUGGAAAUGCUUCCCACUAACAUAUUUUAUCAAGUCUACAAAGCUAUCUAAUAGGUGCCAUUAAGAAAGAAAAAACAACGCCAAUUCAACAAGGACACAACAUUCUGCUAGGGAUUUGCCAGUUCUAGUUUCAGGUGGAUUGGUCUCUCUGCAUGUGGCAAGCAAUCCUUUUGCACCCGUCUCAGUCACAAAAUAAAGCCUCCACUAAGAACUUAAGAACUUUCUUAAGUCCUAUCAAGCACUUGGUUAUUCAUUCAUAAGAAAAUACGGAAUUGUUGUUAACCCUGCAAUAAUGAGUUUUUGCUGCUCUGACAUCAUAGUAUGCCCCACUGCUCUGUUUCCAUACCUUGGGCAUUUAUAGUUGCUUUCCGUUUCAAUGCCAAAUCAUGGCAUGAUUUCUGUGAAGAUGUUUUAAAGAGCCAUUAAAUAUAUAUGUUCUAAGAAUGUACUUAAUUGCCAUGAUACAACAGGAAUAGCUGAGACCAAGUUCAUACACGUCCAGGCAAUGACUGACCACCAGGGCACAGCUGCUGCCUGGCCAACAGCGGCAGUAAGAUGCCAGUGUCCUUAAGAAAUACCGUAUUUUUCAGACUAUAAGAUGCACUUU
Molecule: long non-coding RNA, 2315 nt
Organism: Phyllostomus discolor (pale spear-nosed bat)
Lineage: Eukaryota; Metazoa; Chordata; Mammalia; Chiroptera; Phyllostomidae
Exons: 3
Source: RefSeq, a predicted model, not a curated record